CGCAGUCUCUCUUCUCACCUACAUACAGUCUCAGUCACUGGAUCAAGGUCUCACUUUUGAGUGUUCCCCCGAGCGUUUGAGCUUGAGAAUGUGAGUCUGUAGAGCUCAUCGGCGGCGUCGGAAUGCGAGCGUUUCUCCCAGCGGAUACGAGACCCAGAAUGCAGCUGCUCGCUCGGGCGAAUCACAGCCCUUAGGCACGUCAUCUCCUUCAGCCCUACCUGCCUGUCACAGACUCGACAGACACAUGACACACAAAGCUUCGGUCAUUCAGUCACUUUAUCACACGUCCGCGAGAUGCAUAUACUUGUGCUUGCGCUUGCACUUGCACGCUACUUGCGUAGAGCGGGGGAGGAGCGGGGAGACGCUCAACAGUGCUCAACAAACAUGUGAUAGUAGGCCGUUGGCCGUUUGGGUGUGACCGGCGCCUUGUUAAUGUCACAUUGUGUUCUUGACGACAUGCCCUGUCUCAAUCCUAUCACUAUAAUAGAGGUGGAAUCCAUUACAUCUAUUGU
Molecule: unclassified non-coding RNA, 512 nt
Filed under: Yarrowia lipolytica
Lineage: Eukaryota; Fungi; Ascomycota; Dipodascomycetes; Dipodascales
Source: RNAcentral